CCUACGGGUGGCAGCAGUGGGGAAUAUUGGGCAAUGGACGCAAGUCUGACCCAGCAACGCCGCGUGAAGGCAGCAGGCUUUCGGGUUGUACACUUCUUUUAAGGGGGAAGAGCAGAAGACGGUACCUCUUGAAUAAGCCACGGCUAACUACGUGCCAGCAGCCGCGGUAAUACGUAGGGGGCAAGCGUUGUCCGGAUUUACUUGGUGUAAAGGGCGUGCAGCCGGGAAGACAAGACAGAUGUGAAAUCCCGGGGCUCAACCGCGGAACUGCAUUUGAAACUGUUUGUCUUGAGUGUCGGAGAGGUAGUCGGAAUUCCUAGGGUAGCGGUGAAAUGCGGAGAUAUUAGGAAGAACACCAGUGGCGAAGGCGGAUUACUGGACGACAACUGACGGUGAGGCGCGAAAGCGUGGGGAGCAAACAGGAUUAGAUACCCCAGUAGUC
Molecule: ribosomal RNA, 442 nt
Filed under: uncultured bacterium
Lineage: Bacteria
Description: partial 16S ribosomal RNA
Rfam family: Bacterial small subunit ribosomal RNA
Source: RNAcentral